RNAcentral lists this ribosomal RNA (111 nucleotides) under Bacteroides fragilis. Lineage: Bacteria; Pseudomonadati; Bacteroidota; Bacteroidia; Bacteroidales; Bacteroidaceae. The record is from RNAcentral.
UCAGGUGACUAUAGCAUCAGGGUUUCACCUCUUCCCAUUCCGAACAGAGAAGUUAAGCCUGAUCACGCCGAUGGUACUGCGUAACAGUGGGAGAGUAGGUAGUCGCCGUUU